Molecule: non-coding RNA, 288 nt
Organism: Vicia faba (fava bean)
Lineage: Eukaryota; Viridiplantae; Streptophyta; Magnoliopsida; Fabales; Fabaceae
Source: the annotation of a GenBank genome assembly
AUGACAUACAAACCCAACUCAAAACUCAAGUGUAGAAGUAAAUCUAAAACACAAACAGUAAGAAAACAACAGAACAACGAAAGGGAUUUGGAUUUGAAGCUAGCCGCUCCAUCACCAAAAGCACAUAUCUCUCGACUCAUCAUCGCAUACACCUCCAGAUCCAUAGUCGGGAUGCCACCGCCAAUCGCAUUCGCGAUCGCAACCGCUACACUCGCUCAGCCUCCCUCAUCGUUGACUCAUCCCUCCGACUCAGUAACUUCCUCCGUCGUUUUGUUGGAUUUGUGUUGA